Small nuclear RNA from Mesocricetus auratus (golden hamster), 150 nucleotides. Its record names the gene U1. It matches the Rfam family "U1 spliceosomal RNA". From Rfam's summary of the family: U1 is a small nuclear RNA (snRNA) component of the spliceosome (involved in pre-mRNA splicing). Its 5' end forms complementary base pairs with the 5' splice junction, thus defining the 5' donor site of an intron. Lineage: Eukaryota; Metazoa; Chordata; Mammalia; Rodentia; Cricetidae. The record is from Ensembl.
AUACUUACCUGGCAGGAGAGAUACCGUGAUGAUGAAGGUGGUUUUCCCACGGUAAGGCUUAUCCAUUGCACUCUGGAUGAGCCAGACCCCUACAGUUUCCCCUCAAUUGCAUAAUUUGUGGCAGUGGGGGACUGCAUUUGUGGUCCCCUC